ACGUGAAGAGUUUGUUGUCAUAUGGUCGUAUAUUUUGUAAGAAGUGAAGAGUUUCUUGUCAUAGUCACCAAGGUUGUCGUCAUAAGUCGAAAUGAAUUAUCAAUGAUCCUCGGACUAAAGAGAAUGUGAAAUAAAAGUCCAAAAGAUAAUUCAGUUGUAGAGCUUAGUAAAACAGUUGCUGGACACAUUUACUGGCCCAUAUAGAUGGAGUGAUCAAGUCACAUAUACCAGCUGUUAAUGCUUUUUAGAAGAACAAUAUCAAACUUCUAGUCACGCUUGCAGUGUGGUAGACAUGUUGGUUCAUAAGAUAAGAAUCCUCGUAUAUGAAAAUGAGCGUAUAUUGAUAAUGGUCAAAAGAGGCAAUAUAGUUUUGAAUGAUCUCCAGAAAAGACAUUAAACAUGACUGAAAUAAAUUCAGGUACCUGAGACAAUGAAGAGAUCUCAAUAAGUUAUGUCAUGUAUGAAAUAAAAUGGAACCG
Molecule: long non-coding RNA, 479 nt
Filed under: Brassica napus (rape)
Lineage: Eukaryota; Viridiplantae; Streptophyta; Magnoliopsida; Brassicales; Brassicaceae
Description: long non-coding RNA (BNAP_LNC025663)
Source: RNAcentral